UACGUAGGUGGCAAGCGUUGUCCGGAUUUACUGGGCGUAAAGGGCGCGUAGGCGGCGCGGUAAGUCACUUGUGAAAUCUCUGAGCUUAACUCAGAACGGCCAAGUGAUACUGCAGUGCUAGAGUGCAGAAAGGGCAAUCGGAAUUCCUGGUGUAGCGGUGAAAUGCGUAGAUAUCAAGAGGAACACCUGAGGCGAAGGCGGGUUGCUAGGCUGACACUGACGCUGAGUGCGCGAAAGCCAGGGGAGCAAACGGG
Molecule: ribosomal RNA, 254 nt
Filed under: uncultured bacterium
Lineage: Bacteria
Description: partial 16S ribosomal RNA
Rfam family: Bacterial small subunit ribosomal RNA
Source: RNAcentral